Molecule: ribosomal RNA, 253 nt
Filed under: uncultured bacterium
Lineage: Bacteria
Description: partial 16S ribosomal RNA
Rfam family: Bacterial small subunit ribosomal RNA
Source: RNAcentral
UACGGAGGGUGCAAGCGUUAUCCGGAUUUACUGGGUUUAAAGGGUGCGUAGGCGGAUAUUUAAGUUAGAUGUGAAAGCUUGCAGCUCAACUGUAAGAUUGCGUUUGAAACUGGAUAUCUUGAAUUAAGUGGAAGUGGACGGAAUCAAUCAUGUAGCGGUGAAAUGCAUAGAUAUGACACAGAACACCGAUUGCGAAGGCAGCUCACUAAGCCAUUACUGACGCUCAGGGACGAAAGCGUGGGGAGCGAACAGG